This is a non-coding RNA of Ictidomys tridecemlineatus (thirteen-lined ground squirrel), 72 nucleotides long. The record is from Rfam. NCBI's taxonomy places the organism in Eukaryota, Metazoa, Chordata, Mammalia, Rodentia, Sciuridae.
GGGGACAAAGCUCAGUGGUAGAGCGCUUGCCUAGCAUGCAUGAAGCCCUAGGUUCCCUUCCUAGUACCACUA